Molecule: long non-coding RNA, 386 nt
Filed under: Oryza sativa Indica Group (long-grained rice)
Lineage: Eukaryota; Viridiplantae; Streptophyta; Magnoliopsida; Poales; Poaceae
Description: lncRNA OsMH63_11G010460
Source: RNAcentral
GAAGCUGUACGAGCCCCGGCUGGUGGCCAUCAGGCUCUACCACCGUGGUCGGGACGAGCACCAUGCCAUGGAGCAGCACAAGUGGCGCUUCCUCCAGCGAGCUGCACCCACCGUCCCGCUCUCCAACUUCGUGGACGUGAUGCUCCCGAUGGCCGCCAUCUCAUCACCGCUGCCCUGUGUAGACGACACGAGCGAGCUGAGCGCGGAGUCGAAGUGCGCCAUGGACUCCGCUGCCGCCGGCACCAUCAUCACCAUCUGUUCAGCCGCCACCGCCCAUGGCGGCAUCAUUGUCAUCGUCCCGUUCGCCGCCACAGCGGGCAGCAAUGCGCCCGCACCUGUGCCGGCGCUGGACGAGGAGGUGAAGGAGGAGAAGUAGUCGCGCAGCG